This 274-nucleotide ribosomal RNA is filed under the name uncultured bacterium. RNAcentral's name for it is "partial 16S ribosomal RNA". It matches the Rfam family "Bacterial small subunit ribosomal RNA", at positions 523 to 796 of the family's 1533-position model. The record is from RNAcentral.
CUACGGAGGGUGCAAGCGUUACUCGGAAUCACUGGGCGUAAAGCGCGCGCAGGCGGCCAUUUAAGUUGGAUGUGAAAGCCUACGGCUCAACCGUAGAACUGCAUCCAAAACUAUUUGGCUAGAGUGUGGGAGAGGAAGAUGGAAUUAGUUGUGUAGGGGUAAAAUCCGUAGAGAUAACUAGGAAUACCAAAAGCGAAGGCAAUCUUCUGGAACAUUACUGACGCUGAGGCGCGAAAGCGUGGGGAGCAAACAGGAUUAGAUACCCUAGUAGUCC